RNAcentral lists this unclassified non-coding RNA (352 nucleotides) under soil metagenome. Its description in RNAcentral is "partial contains 5.8S ribosomal RNA, internal transcribed spacer 2, and large subunit ribosomal RNA". The stretch from base 1 to 120 matches the Rfam family "5.8S ribosomal RNA", at positions 35 to 154 of the family's 154-position model. The record is from RNAcentral.
GAUGAAGAACGCAGCGAAAUGCGAUAAGUAAUGUGAAUUGCAGAAUUCAGUGAAUCAUCGAAUCUUUGAACGCACAUUGCGCCCGCCAGUAUUCUGGCGGGCAUGCCUGUUCGAGCGUCAUUACAACCCUCAGGCCCCCGGGCCUGGCGUUGGGGAUCGGCGGAGCCCCCCGUGGGCACACGCCGUCCCCCAAAUGCAGUGGCGGUCCCGCCGCAGCUUCCAUCGCGUAGUAGCUAACACCUCGCGACUGGAGAGCGNCGCGGCCACGCCGUAAAACACCCAACUCUUCUGAAGUUGACCUCGAAUCAGGUAGGAAUACCCGCUGAACUUAAGCAUAUCAAUAAGCGGAGGA